GGGGCGAGAGAGCCAGAAGGAAAGAGAGGAGGCCGGCCCGGGGACGGAUAGGAGGGUGGGCUCCCUAAGAGUACAUCUGGCCUUCCAGUUUUUCCACUUUGGUGACUUCUACAUCCAUUCUUCCUCAGCCAUGCAUAGAAGUCAUGUCAGCCAGGAGAGAAUGCAAAUUUUCUUUCCAAAAUGGAGAAACUGCAGAAAUAAUUUACCAAAAGGAGAAGGAAAAGUAAGAAAGGCAAGUAUUAAUCGUGUUUGACAAAUUUUAAAAAAAAAUCUUCAAAGCCUUAUACUAUGUACCUUUUAUCAAAGCUCGUGGUGGCCUCUAUUUCUGCUUUCUAUAAUAUUCCAUAAUCCCCAUGUUGCUUCACAUUCUGCAUAAGAUUGCUGGGCUUGCUGACUUUUGUAUCCAGGGAAACCUGUGCUUUGAGCAUAAUAAAACUGCAGUGUUCUCUCUGUGUUGUUGAUUUGAUGAUUGACAGCGUAAUUUUUAUGUUAUCAUUCUGGAUUACAUUCACAUAAAUUAGGGUCUUUUCCAUCUUUUGACCUUUCCCAAGAAUCUAAAAAGGGCUUUUGGGGAAAAAAAUCAUACACACACAUAUACUUUUUCAGUUCUGUUGUAAAUUAGGGUUUCAAUAGGUUUUCACAAGUGGCAAAUAGGUUAGUUUGAGCAAUUCCCAAAGAAGUUAUUCUUUUAUUACUUGAAGAGACCCUUUCUAUGUGAGGAUGAGCUGAGUCAGUCAAUAAAAAUUUAUUUAAUACUUUAUUUAACACAAAAGACAAAAGAUAGCCCUAGUUCUCAAGGCCCUCAUAAAAUAA
Long non-coding RNA from Sarcophilus harrisii (Tasmanian devil), 813 nucleotides. RefSeq lists it as uncharacterized. The record is from RefSeq and is a predicted model, not a curated record. NCBI's taxonomy places the organism in Eukaryota, Metazoa, Chordata, Mammalia, Dasyuromorphia, Dasyuridae. The transcript is spliced from 3 exons.